GGUUAAGCGACUAAGCGUACACGGUGGAUGCCCUGGCAGUCAGAGGCGAUGAAGGACGUGCUAAUCUGCGAAAAGCGUCGGUAAGGUGAUAUGAACCGUUAUAACCGGCGAUGUCCGAAUGGGGAAACCCAGUGCAAUUCGUUGCACUAUCGUUAACUGAAUACAUAGGUUAACGAGGCGAACCGGGGGAACUGAAACAUCUAAGUACCCCGAGGAAAAGAAAUCAACCGAGAUUCCCCCAGUAGCGGCGAGCGAACGGGGAGCAGCCCAGAGUCUGAAUCAGCUUGUGUGUUAGUGGAACGGUCUGGAAAGUCCGACGGUACAGGGUGAUAGUCCCGUACACCAAAAUGCACAGGUUGUGAACUCGAAGAGUAGGGCGGGACACGUGGUAUCCUGUCUGAAUAUGGGGGGACCAUCCUCCAAGGCUAAAUACUCCUGACUGACCGAUAGUGAACCAGUACCGUGAGGGAAAGGCGAAAAGAACCCCGGCGAGGGGAGUGAAAAAGAACCUGAAACCGUGUACGUACAAGCAGUGGGAGCACCUUUAUGGUGUGACUGCGUACCUUUUGUAUAAUGGGUCAGCGACUUAUAUUCUGUAGCAAGGUUAACCGUAUAGGGGAGCCGCAGGGAAACCGAGUCUUAACUGGGCGUUAAGUUGCAGGGUAUAGACCCGAAACCCGGUGAUCUAGCCAUGGGCAGGUUGAAGGUUGGGUAACACUAACUGGAGGACCGAACCGACUAAUGUUGAAAAAUUAGCGGAUGACUUGUGGCUGGGGGUGAAAGGCCAAUCAAACCGGGAGAUAGCUGGUUCUCCCCGAAAGCUAUUUAGGUAGCGCCUCGUGAACUCAUCUUCGGGGGUAGAGCACUGUUUCGGCUAGGGGGUCAUCCCGACUUACCAACCCGAUGCAAACUACGAAUACCGAAGAAUGUUAUCACGGGAGACACACGGCGGGUGCUAACGUCCGUCGUGAAGAGGGAAACAACCCAGACCGCCAGCUAAGGUCCCAAAGUCAUGGUUAAGUGGGAAACGAUGUGGGAAGGCACAGACAGCCAGGAUGUUGGCUUAGAAGCAGCCAUCAUUUAAAGAAAGCGUAAUAGCUCACUGGUCGAGUCGGCCUGCGCGGAAGAUGUAACGGGGCUAAACCAUGCACCGAAGCUGCGGCAGCGACACGAUGUGUUGUUGGGUAGGGGAGCGUUCUGUAAGCCUGCGAAGGUGACCUGUGAGGGUUGCUGGAGGUAUCAGAAGUGCGAAUGCUGACAUAAGUAACGAUAAAGCGGGUGAAAAGCCCGCUCGCCGGAAGACCAAGGGUUCCUGUCCAACGUUAAUCGGGGCAGGGUGAGUCGACCCCUAAGGCGAGGCCGAAAGGCGUAGUCGAUGGGAAACAGGUUAAUAUUCCUGUACUUGGUGUUACUGCGAAGGGGGGACGGAGAAGGCUAUGUUAGCCGGGCGACGGUUGUCCCGGUUUAAGCAUGUAGGCUGGUUAUCCAGGCAAAUCCGGAUAAUCAAGGCUGAGGUGUGAUGACGAGGCACUACGGUGCUGAAGUAACAAAUGCCCUGCUUCCAGGAAAAGCCUCUAAGCAUCAGGUAACAUCAAAUCGUACCCCAAACCGACACAGGUGGUCAGGUAGAGAAUACCAAGGCGCUUGAGAGAACUCGGGUGAAGGAACUAGGCAAAAUGGUGCCGUAACUUCGGGAGAAGGCACGCUGGUGUGUAGGUGAAGUCCCUGCGGAUGGAGCUGAGACCAGUCGAAGAUACCAGCUGGCUGCAACUGUUUAUUAAAAACACAGCACUGUGCAAACACGAAAGUGGACGUAUACGGUGUGACGCCUGCCCGGUGCCGGAAGGUUAAUUGAUGGGGUUAUCCGUAAGGAGAAGCUCUUGAUCGAAGCCCCGGUAAACGGCGGCCGUAACUAUAACGGUCCUAAGGUAGCGAAAUUCCUUGUCGGGUAAGUUCCGACCUGCACGAAUGGCGUAAUGAUGGCCAGGCUGUCUCCACCCGAGACUCAGUGAAAUUGAACUCGCUGUGAAGAUGCAGUGUACCCGCGGCAAGACGGAAAGACCCCGUGAACCUUUACUAUAGCUUGACACUGAACAUUGAGCCUUGAUGUGUAGGAUAGGUGGGAGGCUUUGAAGCGUGGACGCCAGUCUGCGUGGAGCCAACCUUGAAAUACCACCCUUUAAUGUUUGAUGUUCUAACGUUGGCCCCUUACCGGGGUUGCGGACAGUGUCUGGUGGGUAGUUUGACUGGGGCGGUCUCCUCCCAAAGCGUAACGGAGGAGCACGAAGGUUAGCUAAUCCUGGUCGGACAUCAGGAGGUUAGUGCAAUGGCAUAAGCUAGCUUGACUGCGAGCGUGACGGCGCGAGCAGGUGCGAAAGCAGGUCAUAGUGAUCCGGUGGUUCUGAAUGGAAGGGCCAUCGCUCAACGGAUAAAAGGUACUCCGGGGAUAACAGGCUGAUACCGCCCAAGAGUUCAUAUCGACGGCGGUGUUUGGCACCUCGAUGUCGGCUCAUCACAUCCUGGGGCUGAAGUAGGUCCCAAGGGUAUGGCUGUUCGCCAUUUAAAGUGGUACGCGAGCUGGGUUUAGAACGUCGUGAGACAGUUCGGUCCCUAUCUGCCGUGGGCGCUGGAGAAUUGAGGGGGGCUGCUCCUAGUACGAGAGGACCGGAGUGGACGCAUCACUGGUGUUCGGGUUGUCAUGCCAAUGGCACUGCCCGGUAGCUAAAUGCGGAAGAGAUAAGUGCUGAAAGCAUCUAAGCACGAAACUUGCCCCGAGAUGAGUUCUCCCUGAGACUUUAAGUCUCCUGAAGGAACGUUAAAGACGAUGACGUUGAUAGGCCGGGUGUGUAAGCGCAGCGAUGCGUUGAGCUAACCGGUACUAAUGAACCGUGAGGCUUAACCUU
RNAcentral lists this ribosomal RNA (2903 nucleotides) under Klebsiella quasipneumoniae. RNAcentral's name for it is "23S ribosomal RNA". It matches the Rfam family "Bacterial large subunit ribosomal RNA". Lineage: Bacteria; Pseudomonadati; Pseudomonadota; Gammaproteobacteria; Enterobacterales; Enterobacteriaceae. The record is from RNAcentral.